RNAcentral lists this ribosomal RNA (465 nucleotides) under Vreelandella stevensii. RNAcentral's name for it is "partial 16S ribosomal RNA". It matches the Rfam family "Bacterial small subunit ribosomal RNA", at positions 338 to 795 of the family's 1533-position model. Lineage: Bacteria; Pseudomonadati; Pseudomonadota; Gammaproteobacteria; Oceanospirillales; Halomonadaceae. The record is from RNAcentral.
CCUACAGGAGGCUGCAGUGGGGAAUAUUGGACAAUGGGGGCAACCCUGAUCCAGCCAUGCCGCGUGUGUGAAGAAGGCCCUCGGGUUGUAAAGCACUUUCAGUGAGGAAGAACGCCUGGUGGUUAAUACCCAUCAGGAAAGACAUCACUCACAGAAGAAGCACCGGCUAACUCCGUGCCAGCAGCCGCGGUAAUACGGAGGGUGCGAGCGUUAAUCGGAAUUACUGGGCGUAAAGCGCGCGUAGGUGGCUUGAUAAGCCGGUUGUGAAAGCCCCGGGCUCAACCUGGGAACGGCAUCCGGAACUGUCAAGCUAGAGUGCAGGAGAGGAAGGUAGAAUUCCCGGUGUAGCGGUGAAAUGCGUAGAGAUCGGGAGGAAUACCAGUGGCGAAGGCGGCCUUCUGGACUGACACUGACACUGAGGUGCGAAAGCGUGGGUAGCAAACAGGAUUAGAUACCCUAGUAGUC